GAGCUCCAGAGCAAAAUUGCAAUUAUUCAAAAACACUCACUCAAUCACCCAAUUCCCCAGAAUCAUGAAACACAGAAAAAAAGAACCCAUGCAAGCCGGCCAGCUUCGAUCAGAGGGAAACCAUUGCAGUAACCAAACCAACUGCAAAGAGUUCGAACAAUAGAUAAUCAUACACUAUCAAGCUUACUGCACCAGAAAGAUCCUUAGGAGCAACAGGACUCUCUACAAUGGGAGCCUU
RNAcentral lists this unclassified non-coding RNA (238 nucleotides) under Hevea brasiliensis (rubber tree). Lineage: Eukaryota; Viridiplantae; Streptophyta; Magnoliopsida; Malpighiales; Euphorbiaceae. The record is from RNAcentral.